GCCCGGGUGGCGGAAUAGGUAGACGCGCAGGACUUAAAAUCCUGUUGGCAGUAAUGCCAGUACGGGUUCGAUUCCCGUCCCGGGCA
RNAcentral lists this transfer RNA (86 nucleotides) under bacterium. RNAcentral's name for it is "tRNA-Leu". It matches the Rfam family "tRNA". From Rfam's summary of the family: Transfer RNA (tRNA) molecules are approximately 80 nucleotides in length. RNAcentral also lists the same sequence under 1 other name. The record is from RNAcentral.